This 72-nucleotide transfer RNA is filed under the name Camelus bactrianus (Bactrian camel). It matches the Rfam family "tRNA". From Rfam's summary of the family: Transfer RNA (tRNA) molecules are approximately 80 nucleotides in length. Their secondary structure includes four short double-helical elements and three loops (D, anti-codon, and T loops). Further hydrogen bonds mediate the characteristic L-shaped molecular structure. tRNAs have two regions of fundamental functional importance: the anti-codon, which is responsible for specific mRNA codon recognition, and the 3' end, to which the tRNAs corresponding amino acid is attached (by aminoacyl-tRNA synthetases). tRNAs cope with the degeneracy of the genetic code in two manners: having more than one tRNA (with a specific anti-codon) for a particular amino acid; and 'wobble' base-pairing, i.e. permitting non-standard base-pairing at the 3rd anti-codon position. RNAcentral also lists the same sequence under 1 other name. The record is from Rfam by way of RNAcentral. Lineage: Eukaryota; Metazoa; Chordata; Mammalia; Artiodactyla; Camelidae.
GAAGGUAUAGCUCAGUGGUAGAGCAUGUGCUUAACAUGCAUGAGGUUCUGGGCUCAAUCCCCAGUAUCUCCA